RNAcentral lists this ribosomal RNA (216 nucleotides) under uncultured bacterium. RNAcentral describes it as "partial 16S ribosomal RNA". It matches the Rfam family "Bacterial small subunit ribosomal RNA", at positions 57 to 305 of the family's 1533-position model. The record is from RNAcentral.
GCAAGUCGAACGGGUUUAGACCCGUGGCAAACGGGCUAGUAACACGUGGGAAUCUACCCUGAAGUCAUGGAUACGCCGGAGAAAUCCGGUACAAUACAUGAUGUGCUCUACGGAGUAAAGAUUUAUCGCUUCAGGAGGAGCCCGCGUCCUAUCAGCUUGUUGGUGAGGUAAAAGCUCACCAAGGCAAUGACGGGUAGGGGGUGUGAGAGCAUGGCC